GAUGAAGAACGCAGCGAAAUGCGAUACUUGGUGUGAAUUGCAGAAUCCCGUGAACCAUCGAGUCUUUGAACGCAAGUUGCGCCCGAAGCCAUUAGGCCGAGGGCACGCCUGCCUGGGCGUCACACGUCGUUGCCCCCCCAUCUACUCCUUCGGGAUUGCGGGGGCGGAUGAUGGCCUCCCGUGCGCCUCGCCGCGCGGUUGGCAUAAAUGCCAAGUCCUCGGCGACGCACGCCACGACAAUCGGUGGUUGCGAAACCUCGGUUGCCCGUCGUGUGCGGUCGUCGCGCAUCGAGGGCUCGAAAAAAUUGCCGGGUUCCGGCUCGGCUUUCAACGCGACCCCAGGUCAGGCGGGGUUACCCGCUGAAUUUAAGCAUAUCAAUAAGCGGAGGA
This 390-nucleotide unclassified non-coding RNA is filed under the name soil metagenome. RNAcentral describes it as "partial contains 5.8S ribosomal RNA, internal transcribed spacer 2, and large subunit ribosomal RNA". The stretch from base 1 to 122 matches the Rfam family "5.8S ribosomal RNA", at positions 35 to 154 of the family's 154-position model. The record is from RNAcentral.